AUACCUUUCUCGGCCUUUUGGCUAAGAUCAAGUGUAGUAUCUGUUCUUAUCAGUUUAAUAUCUGAUAUGUGGACCAAUGGUCCACACGAUAUUAAAUUAAUUUUUUAAAGGGGAAGAUCUACACCAAUAGCUUGCUAUUGAGAUCUUCAUGUGUCGCCCUUGUGUUGCACUAAAACAUGGGCUUGGCACACCCUAC
RNAcentral lists this small nuclear RNA (196 nucleotides) under Phaseolus vulgaris (common bean). RNAcentral's name for it is "snRNA U2". It matches the Rfam family "U2 spliceosomal RNA". Rfam says of the family: U2 is a small nuclear RNA (snRNA) component of the spliceosome (involved in pre-mRNA splicing). The record is from Rfam by way of RNAcentral. Lineage: Eukaryota; Viridiplantae; Streptophyta; Magnoliopsida; Fabales; Fabaceae.